AUCUUUCUAGUAUAAGUUAAUACUGAUGACUUCCAAUUAUUAAAUCUUGGUUAAAGCCCAAGGAAAGAUA
RNAcentral lists this transfer RNA (70 nucleotides) under Phenacogrammus interruptus (Congo tetra). RNAcentral's name for it is "tRNA-Gly". It matches the Rfam family "tRNA". From Rfam's summary of the family: Transfer RNA (tRNA) molecules are approximately 80 nucleotides in length. Their secondary structure includes four short double-helical elements and three loops (D, anti-codon, and T loops). The record is from RNAcentral. Lineage: Eukaryota; Metazoa; Chordata; Actinopteri; Characiformes; Alestidae.